RNAcentral lists this long non-coding RNA (345 nucleotides) under Mus musculus (house mouse). RNAcentral's name for it is "long non-coding RNA chr4:32964887-32965232". Lineage: Eukaryota; Metazoa; Chordata; Mammalia; Rodentia; Muridae. The record is from RNAcentral.
AUGGCUUCCAUCUCCGAGCUCGCUUGCAUCUACUCCGCCCUCAUCCUGCACGACGAUGAGGUGACGGUCACGGAGGAUAAGAUCAAUGCCCUCAUUAAAGCAGCUGGUGUCAGCGUCGAACCUUUCUGGCCUGGCUUGUUUGCCAAGGCUCUGGCCAAUGUCAACAUUGGGUGCCUCAUCUGCAAUGUAGGGGCUGGUGGGCCCGCUCCAACAGCUGGAGCUGCGCCUGCUGGUGGUGCUGCUCUGUCCACUGCUGCUGCCCCAGCUGAGGAGAAGAAAGUGGAGGCAAAGAAGGAAGAGUCCGAGGAGUCUGAAGAUGACAUGGGCUUUGGUCUUUUUGACUAA